Molecule: ribosomal RNA, 234 nt
Filed under: uncultured Actinomycetales bacterium
Lineage: Bacteria; Bacillati; Actinomycetota; Actinomycetes; Actinomycetales
Description: partial 16S ribosomal RNA
Rfam family: Bacterial small subunit ribosomal RNA
Source: RNAcentral
UGGCAACGGGUGAGUAACACGUGGGUGAUCUGCCCUGCACUCUGGGAUAAGCCUGGGAAACUGGGUCUAAUACCGGAUAGGACCAUGCUUUAGUGUGUGUGGUGGAAAGUUUUUUCGGUGUAGGAUGAGCCCGCGGCCUAUCAGCUUGUUGGUGGGGUAAUGGCCUACCAAGGCGGCGACGGGUAGCCGGACUGAGAGGUUGGUCGGCCACAUUGGGACUGAGAUACGGCCCAG